This is a non-coding RNA of Ciona savignyi (Pacific transparent sea squirt), 1244 nucleotides long. The record is from Rfam. NCBI's taxonomy places the organism in Eukaryota, Metazoa, Chordata, Ascidiacea, Phlebobranchia, Cionidae.
CCCGGUGCGCGCAAGGGUCGCCGCCCGGUCGAGGAGAGAUGCGCGCCGCACCUGCCCCGUUCGCGGGGCCGGGGAAGCCGUUCGAGCAGCGUCGUGUCGCGGUCCGGGACUGUCCUCAGUCCCGGGUCGUCUCGGCGCGGUUCCGAGCGGUCGCUCCCUCGCGAGGUGCCGCGGGUCAGCGGCUGACGCCAGCCACCUUCCCGACCCGUCUUGAAACACGGACCAAGGAGUCUAACAUGUGCGCGAGCCGCGGGGCAGUACGAAACCCGUAAGGCGAAAUGAAGGUGAACGCCGGCGCGGUCCGGCGGAGGUUGGAUCCCGUCCCGUCGGGGCGGGCGCACUACCGGCCGAUCUUCUCCGCCCUGUCGGCGAGGUCGAGCGAGAGCGUGCAAGUCGGGACCCGAAAGAUGGUGAACUAUGCCUGAGGAGGUUGAAGCCAGAGGAAACUCUGGUGGAGGACCGUAGCGAAUUCUGACGUGCAAAUCGAUCGUCAAAUUUGGGUAUAGGGGCGAAAGACUAAUCGAACCGUCUAGUAGCUGGUUCCCUUCGAAGUUUCCCUCAGGAUGUGUGGCGCUCUGUCGCAGUUUUAUCUGGUAAAGCGAAUGAUUAGAGGUCUUGGGGGCGAAACGCCCUCAACCUAUUCUCAAACUUUAAAUUGGUAAGAAGCCCGACUCGCUCGUUUGGAGCCGGGCAUGGAAUGCGAGUGCCAAGUGGGCCACUCUUGGUAAGCAGGACUGGCGAUGCGGGAUGAACCGAACGCCGGGUUAAGGCGCCCGACGCGACGCCCAUCAGAGCCCACAAAAGGUGUUGGUUGAUAUAGACAGCAGGACGGUGGCCAUGGAAGUCGGAAACCGCUAAGGAGUGUGUAACAACUCACCUGCCGAAUCAAUCAGCCCUGAAAAUGGAUGGCGCUGGAGCGUCGGGCCUAUACCCGGCCGUCGCGGCGGUACGAGCAUCGAGUUGGUGCGCUAGGCCGCGACGAGUAAGAAGGCCGCGGCGGCGGGCGUAUAAGCCUAAGGCGCGAGCCCGGGUGGAGCAGCCGUCGGUGCAGAUCUUGGUGGUAGUAGCAAAUAUUCAAAUGAGAACUUUGAAAGCCGAAGUGGAGAAAAGGUUCCAUGUGAACAGCAGUUGAACAUUGGGUCAGUCGACCCUAAAGGAUAGGCGAAAGCCGUUCUGAAGCGGAGGUGAUGUUUCGCGUCGCCCCGGCGGACCGAAAGGGGAAUCGGGUUAAUAUUCCCGAACCU